RNAcentral lists this ribosomal RNA (504 nucleotides) under uncultured bacterium. RNAcentral describes it as "partial 16S ribosomal RNA". It matches the Rfam family "Bacterial small subunit ribosomal RNA", at positions 29 to 523 of the family's 1533-position model. The record is from RNAcentral.
AUUGAACGCUGGCGGCAGGCCUAACACAUGCAAGUCGGACGGUAGCACAGAGAGCUUGCUCUCGGGUGACGAGUGGCGGACGGGUGAGUAAUGUCUGGGGAUCUGCCCGAUAGAGGGGGAUAACCACUGGAAACGGUGGCUAAUACCGCAUAACGUCGCCAGACCAAAGAGGGGGACCUUCGGGCCUCUCACUAUCGGAUGAACCCAGAUGGGAUUAGCUAGUAGGCGGGGUAACGGCCCACCUAGGCGACGAUCCCUAGCUGGUCUGAGAGGAUGACCAGCCACACUGGAACUGAGACACGGUCCAGACUCCUACGGGAGGCAGCAGUGGGGAAUAUUGCACAAUGGGCGCAAGCCUGAUGCAGCCAUGCCGCGUGUAUGAAGAAGGCCUUCGGGUCGUAAAGUACUUUCAGCGGGGAGGAAGGCGAUGUGGUUAAUAACCGUAUCGAUUGACGUUACCCGCAGAAGAAGCACCGGCUAACUCCGUGCCAGCAGCCGCCGUAA